AAGCAUGCAUCAGCCUCUCAGUAGCUGUGAUUACAGGCAUUGAGUCACCACUCCUGGAGAAAUAACAGGACUUUGGUGCUAUUCUCCAAGCUGAAAGCCAUCCUCUUCGGCCCUGAGGACACAGCUUUUUCUGCCAUAACUCACUGUCUCCACUGGCUCAAUUAGCCAAUUAGUGGCAUUGUAGAGGGCUGAGAUGUUACUUUUUAGUUUCCAA
Molecule: long non-coding RNA, 214 nt
Filed under: Homo sapiens (human)
Lineage: Eukaryota; Metazoa; Chordata; Mammalia; Primates; Hominidae
Description: non-protein coding LINC01926:6
Source: RNAcentral